Molecule: long non-coding RNA, 585 nt
Organism: Prionailurus viverrinus (fishing cat)
Lineage: Eukaryota; Metazoa; Chordata; Mammalia; Carnivora; Felidae
Exons: 3
Source: RefSeq, a predicted model, not a curated record
CCAAGGCAGCCGGACUCCAGAAAGCACGCCAAAUCCAGCUUCUGCUGUCACCUCGUUGUAUAGCCUCCCCACAAGUAUAUACAGGUCAGAUACCUGGCUCCUGUGCGGUUGAGAAAUUGGAUGCCAGUAGAGCACCAAGAUUCUUAUAAGUGAGGACCUCACCUCCUCACCAGACAUUAUUGACCUUUUGGCUUCUUAGCCCCUACCGUUUCUGGUAGAUCCCCAUUUUAGAAUCCUGAGGGCUGAAGAAGAUGACAGGCAUGCUCUCUAGGAACUGUCUCCUCUAAGUGUGGUCUUUGGACUAGCUGCAGCAUCACCUGGGAGCUGUUAGAUGUGCAGAAUCUGGGGCCUUACUCAGGCCCGCUGAAUCAGAAUCUGCAAGUGAAUCAUAUGCACGUUCAAGUUGCAGAAGCAGUGGUUUCAGAACACUGCACCCUCAAGGCGUGGAGGCAGCUGCUCUACCAAACAGACCUGGCUGUCCUUUGAGUGUGCCUUGGACGGAAUAAUAAGAGCUGCUUUCUUGGACAGGACGGGUGCCAUUGGAAGAGGAGUUCCGGCUGGACCACGAGGGGAAUGUGGAACAAA